RNAcentral lists this long non-coding RNA (953 nucleotides) under Mustela putorius furo (domestic ferret). Its description in RNAcentral is "lncRNA (ENSMPUG00000030620.1)". The record is from RNAcentral. Lineage: Eukaryota; Metazoa; Chordata; Mammalia; Carnivora; Mustelidae.
AGAGGAGAUGCCAUCCCACACAUGGCAAGAAAGAAGGGGCAGGGGGUGGAGCCUGGGAAAGAGCAGUUGGUUCCUGCCCAGGAGGAGGGGAGGGUGGCGAGGAGACCCCAGGAAGAGGGAAAGAGGAAAGACAGCACGGUGCAUGGAGGGGCCACUAUGGCCCACGCAGCUCCCCCACAGAAAGAGGGCAGAGCACAGCAGCUGAGCAGUAGACUGCAGAGACCAGCAGACGCUUGGCUAAACCCCGGGAAAGAUGGAGGCCCUCGUGGGGCAGCAGGGUGGGACCUUCUGCUGAGAAGUGGGCCGGGAGAACGGGGGGACCAGUGCGCCUGGAGCUCCUGCGUGAAAAAGAUGAACCAAACCCUCCAGACUCACCUGGGGAUGGGGGCACUCUGAGCUGGAUGUUUCCCUAGGCCAUGGCCAAAAGCCGUCCUUCUCUUUCCCUUUACAACACACGGAGGGCAAGACCAUGUCAAGGAGCUGUUCCCAAAGCCUGUUACCUGGCCUUUGUCUCCAUCAGAAAGCAGAAGAGCUCUUGUAUUAGAGACUGUGGCCAAGGGCGCCUGGGUGGCUCAGUGGAUUAAAGCCUCUGCCUUUGGCUCAGGUCACCGUCCCAGGAUCCUGGAUCAAGCCCCGCAUCAGGCUUUCUGCCCAGCAGGGAUCCUGCUUCUCUGUCUCUCUCUACCUGCCUCUGUGCCUACUUGUGAUCUCUGUCCAUCAAAUAAAUAAAUAAAAUCUUAAAAAAAAAAAAAGAAAAGAAAAGAAACUGUGGCCAAGAGGAGUGAAGAGACAGGAGGAAGAGGAGGGCGGAGUGGGCAGGAUCAUGGACAGAAACCACCGGGAUGAUUGGGGAAGGUCAAUUUAAAGCAUAAACAAGGCUUCGUGGGGGUCCUGUUUCCUCUCUCUAGGUGUGCCAUGUCUCAGAAUCUUCCAUGUCUCAAAAUGCUGCAGCC